ACGCUCGACACCUACGGGAGGUAGCAGUGGGGAAUAUUGCACAAUGGGGGAAACCCUGAUGCAGCGACGCCGCGUGAAGGAAGAAGUAUCUCGGUAUGUAAACUUCUAUCAGCAGGGAAGAAAGUGACGGUACCUGACUAAGAAGCCCCGGCUAACUACGUGCCAGCAGCCGCGGUAAUCUGAGCGGGCUGGCAAGGC
This 198-nucleotide ribosomal RNA is filed under the name uncultured bacterium. Its description in RNAcentral is "partial 16S ribosomal RNA". It matches the Rfam family "Bacterial small subunit ribosomal RNA", at positions 328 to 539 of the family's 1533-position model. The record is from RNAcentral.